UACGGGGGGGGCAAGCGUUGUUCGGAAUUACUGGGCGUAAAGGGCUCGUAGGCGGCCAACUAAGUCAGACGUGAAAUCCCUCGGCUUAACCGGGGAACUGCGUCUGAUACUGGAUGGCUAGAGGUUGGGAGAGGGAUGCGGAAUUCCAGGUGUAGCGGUGAAAUGCGUAGAUAUCUGGAGGAACACCGGUGGCGAAGGCGGAUCUCUGGGCCUUACCUGACGCUCAGGUGCGAAAGCUAGGGGAGCGAACAGG
RNAcentral lists this ribosomal RNA (253 nucleotides) under uncultured bacterium. Its description in RNAcentral is "partial 16S ribosomal RNA". It matches the Rfam family "Bacterial small subunit ribosomal RNA", at positions 524 to 776 of the family's 1533-position model. The record is from RNAcentral.